RNAcentral lists this small RNA (83 nucleotides) under Flavobacterium crassostreae. RNAcentral's name for it is "Flavo-1 RNA". It matches the Rfam family "Flavo-1 RNA". Lineage: Bacteria; Pseudomonadati; Bacteroidota; Flavobacteriia; Flavobacteriales; Flavobacteriaceae. The record is from Rfam by way of RNAcentral.
UUCUGUGAGGGAUAGUAGUGGCAUCCUUUUAGAAUGCUUUUUUUGGAGCAUUCUAAAUGAUAUAACGGAUAGCCCGACCGGAA